GACGUAGGAGGCGAGCGUUAUCCGGAUUCACUGGGCGUAAAGCGCAUGUAGGCGGUUCGCUAAGUCCGCUGUUAAAGCCCCCGGCUCAACUGGGGGAGGUCAGUGGAGACUAUAGGACUUGAGGGCAACAGAGGCACGUGGAACUCCCGGUGUAGCGGUGGAAUGCGUAGAGAUCGGGAAGAACACCAGUGGCGAAGGCGACGUGCUGGGUUGCGACUGACGCUGAGGAGCGAAAGCGUGGGGAGCGAACAGG
This 253-nucleotide ribosomal RNA is filed under the name uncultured bacterium. RNAcentral's name for it is "partial 16S ribosomal RNA". It matches the Rfam family "Bacterial small subunit ribosomal RNA", at positions 524 to 776 of the family's 1533-position model. The record is from RNAcentral.